CCCAAAAUUUGUAGAUGUGGGUGGGAAACGACAUCGAAAUGCAGAUCAUUUUCCACUCUCACCUCCAGUUUUCAAGCCCAAUUUUCCACUCCCAAUCCCACCGAGAAGGAGCAAUUGCGGGAAUGGUUGUUUUACAUCUGUCACAGUUGUAGAUAGAUUAAUGUUUUUGAUCAUUUUCCCACUCUUUUUGGGCCUUACCUGACCGACAAUUUUCACUUUCAUCCUUUUUUUGGUCAGCAAUUUUCCCCUCUGACACCCAAGCAAAAAUAUGAUUUUGGUACACUGUGCUUAUAUGUAUCCCCACGGUGAAAGGCUGGUUCGGAUGCCACUCAUUAUACAUUUUUUUAAGGCUUUGUGCAGUAACACUAAAAUUGGCCUUUGUUUUUAUUGUUAAUGUUUUGCGUCUUCCAGAAAACCUCGGCAUUCCUGUACCGGACUCUGCUGGCGCUCACCUACAACUGGACCUGGACAAAACGGUGGCGGGAGCAUCAGCUGCAGACGCACCUGUACCGGACUCUGCUGGCGCUCACCUACAACUGGACCUGGACAAAACGGUGGCGGGAGCAUCAGCUGCAGACGCACCUGUACCGGACUCUGCUGGCGCUCACCUACAACUGGACCUGGACAAAACGGUGGCGGGAGCAUCAGCUGCAGACGAACCUGUACCGGACUCUGCUGGCGCUCACCUACAACUGGACCUGGACAAAACGGUGGCGGGAGCAUCAGCUGCAGACGCACCUGUACCGGACUCUGCUGGCGCUCACCUACAACUGGACCUGGACAAAACGGUGGCGGGAGCAUCAGCUGCAGACGCACCUGUACCGGACUCUGCUGGCGCUCACCUACAACUGGACCUGGACAAAACGGUGGCGGGAGCAUCAGCUGCAGACGCACCCGCUGCAGACAGACCAGCACACUCGCCCGCUGCAAAUGAACCUGCAGAGGACGCACCUUUGAUUGAAAUGCGAACGCCUCCGCUACAGCGGCACAGAAAUCGGAUGGUGGCCACGCGUGAAAACAUGUCGUCAUUUAACAAGGUUGCGCAAGUUCUCCCCACGAUAUGUGUACGAAAUGAUUCCAAUGAUGACAGACUGGAUGACGUGGUGUCAGACACAGACUCUGAUCCUGACUGGAUGCCUCCCAGCAACGAGUCUGCUGACAUGCUUGACCGGACGUGGUCCCUCGACGAAGUGUGUGAAAUAUUUCCUGAAGUGAGAGGUGAGAUUCUUCCCAAUUCACCCGAUCACGCAGAUUCGAACCCAUCACUGCAGUCACACGCCACCUACUCACCUGUCGCGGGAGCAUCUGCGGACGCCCUCUUGCCACCCGCACCCGCAGCUGCAGACGCUUCUGCCGCACCUGCCGCACCCGCACCCGCUGCAGAUACUUUGACGACCCAACCUGCAGUGAAUGUACCGACAGCGAGUACAUCUCGCGAGGAUGAACCUCACCUGGAAGGAUCCCCCAGUCAUGGUGUCUUUUAUAGAGUGUCGCCUACUGCUAAAACGUACGAUACAGUAAACUCAUGCCUGUUUUGUAAAAAGAAAAUCAAACAGAAAAUGCGCCGCCAUUUGAAAACAAAACAUUCAGACAAACAGCAAGUGGCGCAUGCCAUGACGGGGACAGCUGAUCAACAGGACAGAAAGUUUUCCCUUCUUAUCAGCCGGGGUAACUUUGAGCACAACUUGGAAGUACUGGAAGCUGGGAAAGGGGAACUUAUGUUGAAGAGGAGACCCAAGAAGCCCGACAUACCAGUCACCAAGUUCCUGCCAUGUCCUGGAUGCCUGGCGUUUAUGUUGCGUGAGGACCUGCAGCAGCAUCAUCCAGUUUGUCCUGCAGACAACAUGGACAGUCUGGACAACGCAAUGAUCACCACCAAGGCGGAAAACCUGCUGCGCAGGUUUGAUCCAGGAGACGUACCUGAGUUCGUAAGGGAGAUACGAGACAAAGCUAUAAGGGACGUAGUUUGUGGCGACAGAACGUUGGUGGCAUAUGCCAACUACACCGUAGAAAGCAAAGGAAAAAACGAAAACCACUUGAAGCCAAUAAAAACCAGAGUGACCAAACUAGCCAAAGUUCUCCUAGAUGUACGGGACAGGAAGAGUCAGCCAAACCUCACUAUGGAUGAGCUUUGUGACGCUCGAUACUUUGACGACAUUGUGCAUGUGACAAAGCAAGCAGCGGGAUACAGGGAAGGCACUAAGCUGACCCCACCAACGUUCCUAGUGCCUACUGUGCCAAGAACAGUGGGAACUGCGUUGGGGAAGGUUUGCCAUGUACUACUGGGCGUCAGUAUGCGAGAAGGAAACACGGAGAUGCAGAACCGAAUCUCCAUCUUCAAGAGACUGCUAGAAAACGAAUGGGGCGAUAAAAUGGGGCGCGCCUCACUCGAAACAUUGAAUUUGAGAAAACAGAACGCAGAGAAACAGCUGCCAACCACCGAAGAUAUGAAACGGCUACAGAACCACCUUCAGACCAAACUGGCAUCCACGAUGGAGUCUGUGAGUAGAAAGCCUAGCGUCAAGUCAUACAACACCUUGGCGUGCGUAACAGCCGUCAGCCUCAUGGUGUUCAACAAACGUAGAGGUGGAGAGUCCAUGAAGAUUCGUGUCCGUGAUUACACUUCAAGAGCGGCGUACACCCAAAACGAGACAGUCGUCAAUUCGCUAUCAGACUUGGAGAAACAGAUCAUGGACAAGAUGUGCCUGAUCAAAACGCGUGGCAAACGUGGAAGGACUGUGCCGGUUCUCAUACCACAGAUGGAGAAACGGGCGAUCGAUCUUCUGGUUUCUCUCCGUGAGUCGGUGGGUCUGCGUGAUAGUGUACCAGAAGAGGCGCUCCUCUUCUCAAAGGCUCCGGAAGGAAGACUCGUAAACGGGUGGUAUCAGCUGAAGAAAGAAUGCAGAGAUGCUGGUUGCCGAGACAUAAACGCCAUCACUUCAACAAAUAUGCGCAAAUAUCUAGCCACGAUCGCCCAGAUCAUGAACCUAUCAGAAAAUGAAAUGGAUCAGAUUGCCUCACACCUCGGACACGAUAUAACCGUUCACAGAAAAUAUUAUCGCCUACCGGACAGCACAGUAGAACUCGCGAAAAUAGCGAAACUUCUACUGUCUACCGAAGAAACGCUUGGAGCCAAUCUCGACGAUGAUGCUGAAGGAGCGUCAAAUGCAGUCGGCGCUACGGCUGGCCGUGUCAGCGACCCACCUGCUCGGCCACGGCCAACAGGCAGCCGGCUCCGACGUCAAGUAGGCGCUACGGUUCCUGACGCCAGCAGGAGCACUUGACCAGCAGCUCACCGCCACCGCACAGGACCUGGCACAGCUCGGCACAGGCAUGCACAUUGACCCAGCAGUGGUGCAAGAAUGCGAAUGGCAAGCUCUGCACUGAUUCCUCCGUUUUUAGCAUUAGUGUUUCGCGUAACUUUCCGUUAAACGGACGGGGCCGCCGCCGGCCCCGGCCGCCGCCGUGCGAGUCGGCCGCCGCGCCGCUACGGACGACUGGCACACGCCACAAGUGUGAUGGAUUUUCGGCCAACGCGGCGACACCGGCGUAGCGUUCAAUUGGCCGCGCUGCCCUGACGCUCCGGUGACGGACAGGUGGACCGAGGGCGCCGCCCGCCCAUCCCUCCGGACCAGGCCAGGCCGGCCGAUCUGAGGGAGGUAGGGAGGAGCCGCGUGGCUGGCCGAAUGGACGGCCGCGCCGGGCCAUUGUCACUGAUUGUUGGCCAUUGUCACUGAUUGUUCAUUGCCGCACCGAGGUCCGGCGAUGUCACCGGAAUGCCGCCACUGGUUUGAGUUUCCGCGAAACCGGCUUGCCCAGAGAUGUUUGUCACUGGCAUUGCUAUGUGCUAUUUGUGAUGUUCAUAUAUACCAUUCCCGUUACGGAGUACAUAUCUUGUUUUGAACGUUAAGUUCCGAUAUACGAACUGGCCGUCUGAAAAAGAGCCGCACGUGCACGAUGCUUGUAGAUAUUCCUGACGACCACGAACCGACCACGAAUCAGAACUGCGCCUCUCGUAAUGGGAGUGCGAGUAGUUGUUGCGAGUUAGAGCUCCUUGGCGAGUGGCUGACUCUGAACUGACUGACUAAACACCGGUUAGCUGUUUCACCAGCAGUCCCAGUGGAGGGAAGUAGGCCCAGGCGAGCAGGGUGUCGCAGCGUAAGUCCGACGAUGGCGGCGCAGUAGUCGAAUGGCGUCCACAUUUAGCCGACGAAGGCUGCGCUGAGCGCCAUACCCGCCUCACCUUAUCUCCGAGUCACGUGUUCAUGACUGACACGGGCAACCAUACGGCCCGUCGUUGCCCACGCGCACCCCAGACGGGGCCGCCAGUCGCGGCCCCGGACACGUCAGUCCCCAGAUCUGCAGUGAUGUCGCCCGGCUCUGACGAUGGCGCACAGCCGCCGUGUCCGCGGUCUCCGUCGCCGCCGCGGUAUGCGGCGCUGGGCGGCGACUCGUACAUGUCGCGGUCUCGCCAUUGGGGGCCGAACGAUUCGCGGCUCCCGCCGACCCCGCCGGCGACGAGUUUCCUCCGGCGAGUCCUGCGCCGUCUGGCGUGGUCGACGCUGCCCGGGAGGUUCCUGGCUGGCAAGCUGCUGCUGUGUCUACCGACGCACAGAGUUUUGUCGUGGCUGUGCUGUCCGCGGCCGUGCUCCACGGUUGCGACGUCUGCGGCCAAGCUGCCCGCUGCUGAGCUCCGCGGCCGAGCUGCCAGCGGCCGUGCUCUGCGGCCGUGCUCUGCGGUCGUGCUCUGCGGCCGUGCUUCCCGUGGCUGGGCCCUCCGUGGUCCCGUGAUCGUGGCCGCGGCGAGGGUGCCGCGACCUGCGCGAUGCCGUGCGCUGCAGUGAUGGCGCCGCGCACUGUGCAGUGAUUUUGCCGAGCGCUGCGUACGCGGUGGGUGCCGCGCGCCGCGCUGUUGAGCGUGCCGUAUUCGGACGGUGGCUGCCGCGCGCAGCGUGGUGAUUGCUGCGCUCUGCCAUGAGUGCCGCUCACUGCCGUGGCCUGAGUGCCGCGCUCGGACGGAGUGCCACGCGCCGUUGUGUUGCGUCGCCUUCUGCCUUUUGAUAUGUGCUAUCUCCGAAUUUAAUGUUGCUUGUUGCCGAUGUUCGCUUCUUUUCGUUAAGAGGGUCGGGUAUAGUCGGUCGAUUUAUUCGCACCGUUUGAUUUCGUACCGGCUUCUCUUCUGUUUCUUAUUGUUUUCUGCGAUGUCACUUGUCCGAUUUUAUAUCUGAUUAAUUCACGUCACUUAAGUAUUUAUUUUAUAUUGUCAUAAUAACUUACGGCGCUGUUCCUUUAUUUUCUGUUUAGUUGCAGCCCUAGUACCUUAAUUUCCGAUGUCUCUUCGGUUUGUUGUCGCUCGCAUGUUCAGAGAGUCCUGGUUGGCCGGCGCGAGCGGCGGUUGUGGAAUACAAGCUCGUCUGUGAA
RNAcentral lists this unclassified non-coding RNA (5421 nucleotides) under Amphibalanus amphitrite. RNAcentral describes it as "uncharacterized LOC122367905, transcript variant X2". Lineage: Eukaryota; Metazoa; Arthropoda; Thecostraca; Balanomorpha; Balanidae. The record is from RNAcentral.